UAACACAUGCAAGUCGCGGGCGAGCACGGAGCAAUACCUGGUGGCGACCGGCGCACGGGUGCGUAACGCGUAUGCAACCUGCCCCCAGCAGGGGAAUAGCCCGCGAAAGCGGAUUAAUGCCCAUAGGCCCAGGGCGCCGCAUGGCGCUAUGGGUAAAGCGUCCGGCGGAUGGGGAUGGGCAUGCGUGCCAUUAGCUAGUUGGGGCGGUAACGGCGCACCAAGGCGACGAUGGCUAGGGGGUCUGAGAGGAUGGUCCCCCACACUGGUACUGAGACACGGACCAGACUCCUACGGGAGGCAGCAGUGAGGAAUAUUGGUCAAUGGGCGGAAGCCUGAACCAGCCAUGCCGCGUGCAGGAUGACGGCCCUACGGGUUGUAAACUGCUUUUCCCCGGGAAGAAUAAGCCCCUCGUGAGGGGUGAUGCCGGUACCGGGGGAAUAAGGAUCGGCUAACUCCGUGCCAGCCGCAGC
Molecule: ribosomal RNA, 470 nt
Filed under: uncultured bacterium
Lineage: Bacteria
Description: bacterial SSU rRNA
Rfam family: Bacterial small subunit ribosomal RNA
Source: RNAcentral